RNAcentral lists this ribosomal RNA (460 nucleotides) under uncultured bacterium. RNAcentral describes it as "partial 16S ribosomal RNA". It matches the Rfam family "Bacterial small subunit ribosomal RNA", at positions 338 to 795 of the family's 1533-position model. The record is from RNAcentral.
CCUACGGGCGGCAGCAGUGAGGAAUAUUGGUCAAUGGGCGCAAGCCUGAACCAGCCAAGUCGCGUGAGGGAUGACGGUCCUAUGGAUUGUAAACCUCUUUUGUCGGGGAGCAAGGCCCGGCACGUGUGGCGGGAAGGAGAGUACCCGAAGAAAAAGCAUCGGCUAACUCCGGGCCAGCAGCCGCGGUAAUACGGAGGAUGCGAGCGUUAUCGGGAUUUAUGGGGUUUAAAGGGUGCGUAGGCGUAAGGUUAAGUCAGCGGUAAAAUGUCGGUGCUCAACACCGGCCUGCCGUUGAAACUGGUCUUCUUCAGUGCGCGAGAAGUAUGCGGAAUGCGUGGUGUAGCGGUGAAAUGCAUAGAUAUCACGCAGAACUCCGAUUGCGAAGGCAGCAUACCGGCGCUCAACUGACGCUGAGGCACGAAAGCGUGGGGAUCGAACAGGAUUAGAUACCCCAGUAGUC